RNAcentral lists this ribosomal RNA (253 nucleotides) under uncultured bacterium. RNAcentral describes it as "partial 16S ribosomal RNA". It matches the Rfam family "Bacterial small subunit ribosomal RNA", at positions 524 to 776 of the family's 1533-position model. The record is from RNAcentral.
UACGUAGGGUGCGAGCGUUGUCCGGAAUUAUUGGGCGUAAAGAGCUCGUAGGCGGUUUGUUGCGUCGGCCGUGAAAACCUGCAGCUUAACUGUGGGCCUGCGGCCGAUACGGGCAGACUUGAGUUCGGUAGGGGAGAGUGGAAUUCCUGGUGUAGCGGUGAAAUGCGCAGAUAUCAGGAGGAACACCGGUGGCGAAGGCGGGUCUCUGGGCCGAUACUGACGCUGAGGAGCGAAAGCGUGGGGAGCGAACAGG